CCUACGGGGUGCAGCAGUGAGGAAUAUUGGUCAAUGGACGAGAGUCUGAACCAGCCAAGUCGCGUGAAGGAUGACUGCCCUAUGGGUUGUAAACUUCUUUUAUAAAGGAAUAAAACGAGGCACGUGUGCCUUUUUGCAUGUACUUUAUGAAUAAGGAUCGGCUAACUCCGUGCCAGCAGCCGCGGUAAUACGGAGGAUCCGAGCGUUAUCCGGAUGUAUUGGGUUUAAAGGGAGCGUAGAUGGGUUGUUAAGUCAGUUGUGAAAGUUUGCGGCUCAACCGUAAAAUUGCAAUUGAUACUGGCAGUCUUGAGUACAGUAGAGGUAGGCGGAAUUCGUGGUGUAGCGGUGAAAUGCUUAGAUAUCACGAAGAACCCCGAUUGCGAAGGCAGCUUACUAAACUGUGACUGACAUUGAUGCUCGAAAGUGUGGGUAUCAAACAGGAUUAGAUACCCCUGUAGUC
RNAcentral lists this ribosomal RNA (460 nucleotides) under uncultured bacterium. RNAcentral's name for it is "partial 16S ribosomal RNA". It matches the Rfam family "Bacterial small subunit ribosomal RNA", at positions 338 to 795 of the family's 1533-position model. The record is from RNAcentral.